RNAcentral lists this ribosomal RNA (922 nucleotides) under uncultured bacterium. Its description in RNAcentral is "bacterial SSU rRNA". It matches the Rfam family "Bacterial small subunit ribosomal RNA", at positions 9 to 916 of the family's 1533-position model. The record is from RNAcentral.
GAGUUUGAUCCUGGCUCAGGAUGAACGCUAGCGACAGGCUUAACACAUGCAAGUCGAGGGGCAGCGGGGGUGAUGGCUUGCCAUCACCUGCCGGCGACCGGCGCACGGGUGAGUAACACGUAUGCAACCUGCCCGCCACAGGGGGAUAAGCGGAAGAAAUUCCGUCUAAUACCGCGUGACGCGGCGCCGGGGCAUCCCGGUGCCGCCAAAGGGAUUACCGGUGGCGGAUGGGCAUGCGGCGCAUUAGCUAGUCGGCGGGGUAACGGCCCACCGAGGCGACGAUGCGUAGGGGUUCUGAGAGGAAGGUCCCCCACACUGGUACUGAGACACGGACCAGACUCCUACGGGAGGCAGCAGUGAGGAAUAUUGGUCAAUGGGCGCGAGCCUGAACCAGCCAAGUCGCGUGAGGGAUGACGGUCCUACGGAUUGUAAACCUCUUUUGCCGGGGAGCAAGCGUGCGUUCGUGAACGCGCGUCGAGAGUACCCGGAGAAAAAGCAUCGGCUAACUCCGUGCCAGCAGCCGCGGUAAUACGGAGGAUGCGAGCGUUAUCCGGAUUUAUUGGGUUUAAAGGGUGCGUAGGCGGGAUGCCAAGUCAGCGGUAAAAAUGCGGUGCUCAACGCCGUCGAGCCGUUGAAACUGGCGUUCUUGAGUGGGCGAGAAGUAUGCGGAAUGCGUGGUGUAGCGGUGAAAUGCAUAGAUAUCACGCAGAACUCCGAUUGCGAAGGCAGCAUACCGGCGCCCUACUGACGCUGAGGCACGAAAGCGUGGGUAUCGAACAGGAUUAGAUACCCUGGUAGUCCACGCAGUAAACGAUGAAUGCUAACUGUCCGGUGCGAGUGAGCGCUGGGCGGUACAGCGAAAGCGUUAAGCAUUCCACCUGGGGAGUACGCCGGCAACGGUGAAACUCAAAGGAAUUGACGG